Molecule: ribosomal RNA, 429 nt
Filed under: Bacteroidota bacterium
Lineage: Bacteria; Pseudomonadati; Bacteroidota
Description: Bacteroidetes bacterium partial 16S ribosomal RNA
Rfam family: Bacterial small subunit ribosomal RNA
Source: RNAcentral
UAGGGAAUCUUCGGCAAUGGGGGGAACCCUGACCGAGCAACGCCGCGUGAGUGAAGAAGGUUUUCGGAUCGUAAAGCUCUGUUGUUAAGGAAGAACGAGUGUGAGAAUGGAAAGUUCAUACUGUGACGGUACUUAACCAGAAAGGGACGGCUAACUACGUGCCAGCAGCCGCGGUAAUACGUAGGUCCCGAGCGUUGUCCGGAUUUAUUGGGCGUAAAGCGAGCGCAGGCGGUUAGAUAAGUCUGAAGUUAAAGGCAGUGGCUCAACCAUUGUAUGCUUUGGAAACUGUUUAACUUGAGUGCAGAAGGGGAGAGUGGAAUUCCAUGUGUAGCGGUGAAAUGCGUCGAUAUAUGGAGGAACACCGGUGGCGAAAGCGGCUCUCUGGUCUGUAACUGACGCUGAGGCUCGAAAGCGUGGGGAGCGAACAGG